RNAcentral lists this transfer RNA (77 nucleotides) under Succinivibrionaceae bacterium. Its description in RNAcentral is "tRNA-Arg". It matches the Rfam family "tRNA". From Rfam's summary of the family: Transfer RNA (tRNA) molecules are approximately 80 nucleotides in length. Their secondary structure includes four short double-helical elements and three loops (D, anti-codon, and T loops). RNAcentral also lists the same sequence under 1 other name. The record is from RNAcentral. Lineage: Bacteria; Pseudomonadati; Pseudomonadota; Gammaproteobacteria; Aeromonadales; Succinivibrionaceae.
GUGCCCUUGGCUCAGCUGGAUAGAGCAACGGCCUUCUAAGCCGUAGGUCAUAGGUUCGAAUCCUAUAGGGCACGCCA